GGGUCGUUAGCUCAGUCGGUAGAGCAGCUGGCUUUUAACCAGUAGGUCGUUGGUUCGAAUCCAACACGACCCACCA
This 76-nucleotide transfer RNA is filed under the name Gammaproteobacteria bacterium. RNAcentral's name for it is "tRNA-Lys". It matches the Rfam family "tRNA". Rfam says of the family: Transfer RNA (tRNA) molecules are approximately 80 nucleotides in length. Their secondary structure includes four short double-helical elements and three loops (D, anti-codon, and T loops). Lineage: Bacteria; Pseudomonadati; Pseudomonadota; Gammaproteobacteria. The record is from RNAcentral. RNAcentral also lists the same sequence under 2 other names.